GACGAACGCUGGCGGCGUGCUUAACACAUGCAAGUCGAACGGAAAGGCCCUGCUUUUGUGGGGUGCUCGAGUGGCGAACGGGUGAGUAACACGUGAGUAACCUGCCCUUGACUUUGGGAUAACUUCAGGAAACUGGGGCUAAUACCGGAUAGGAGCUCCUGCUGCAUGGUGGGGGUUGGAAAGUUUCGGCGGUGGGGGAUGGACUCGCGGCUUAUCAGCUUGUUGGUGGGGUAGUGGCCUACCAAGGCUUUGACGGGUAGCCGGCCUGGGAGGGUGACCGGCCACAUUGGGACUGAGAUACGGCCCAGCCUCCUACGGGCGGCAGCAGUGGGGAAUAUUGCGCAAUGGGCGGAAGCCUGAUGCAGCACCGCCGCGUGCGGGAUGACGGCCUUCGGGUUGUAAACCGCUUUCGCCUGUGACGAAGCGUGAGUGACGGUAAUGGGUAAAGAAGCACCGGCUAACUACGUGC
RNAcentral lists this ribosomal RNA (469 nucleotides) under uncultured bacterium. RNAcentral describes it as "partial 16S ribosomal RNA". It matches the Rfam family "Bacterial small subunit ribosomal RNA", at positions 28 to 508 of the family's 1533-position model. The record is from RNAcentral.